GCCAAUCUUCAUCAACAUUUUCAACAACACCAUCUCCUCUCAAAAGCCUAGUUCAUCUCUUGUGCUUAAUCUUGUACAAGACCCUUAGAUUGGUACCUGGGGGGUGACUAGUAGUGUUGAUUACAUCUUGUAGUUGAUGCUUUAUGGUUUAUUUGGUGGAAGAUAAUAUGUUUGGAUCCAAUAUGCUAUUUAAUACCUCUCUCGUU
RNAcentral lists this long non-coding RNA (206 nucleotides) under Hordeum vulgare. Its description in RNAcentral is "long non-coding RNA (HVUL_LNC000703)". The record is from RNAcentral. Lineage: Eukaryota; Viridiplantae; Streptophyta; Magnoliopsida; Poales; Poaceae.